Non-coding RNA from Xylariales sp. No.14919, 72 nucleotides. Lineage: Eukaryota; Fungi; Ascomycota; Sordariomycetes; Xylariales. The record is from the annotation of a GenBank genome assembly.
GGCUCAGUGGUCUAGUGGUAUGAUUCCUGCUUCGGGUGCAGGAGGCCCCGGGUUCGAAUCCCGGCUGAGCCC